UUCAGACGACUGGACCUCACUUUGACUGCAGGCUAAUAUCAGAAGAGGAGGCGAGCGGGGAGGAUUUCGGCCCAUAAAUCCGCCACCACACCCAGCAUCAACUCGUUGGAGAGCGAGGAAGCUUUUCCAGCUGGAGAUCAAAGAGUUUCACCUUCCUGAUUAGAAUGCGGGUCGGCUCAACUUUCAGAUGCCGCGGCGCUGCUCCGGGCUGGCGUAAGAGGAUUACACAUCUGACUUGUUCAACUAUACACACGAGGAAACGCACAACACGGUCGCAG
RNAcentral lists this long non-coding RNA (278 nucleotides) under Takifugu rubripes (torafugu). RNAcentral's name for it is "lncRNA (ENSTRUG00000026096.1)". The record is from RNAcentral. Lineage: Eukaryota; Metazoa; Chordata; Actinopteri; Tetraodontiformes; Tetraodontidae.